UCCUUCCUUCCUUCCUUCCUUCCUCUGUCCCUCCCUCUCCCUCCCCCCUCUCUCUAAUGGUCUCUAAGUGUCAUCCUGGCUGGUCUGGAACUCUGUAGCUUAGGCUGACCCAUGAUCCUCCUGCCUCAGCCUCUAAAGUGCUGGGAUUAUAGGUCUGCAUCACCACACAUGGCUUUCUAGAGUCUUGACAAAUAGCAGCUCACUCUUAAAAUCCUGUUCUACACCGGACACACAGUGUUUCCAUUAUAGCAGGGGCCCCUCUUCAGCUCUGCAUUUCAGUGACAGGGAAUUGACGGCUUCAUCUAGGCGUCCUAUGCAGAAGCCAUUGGAAGCAAAGGAUAUUUUGCUGUGUUAAAUUUGUAUUUGUAUGGUUGAAUUUCUUAUGAGAGCUGUGUGCCAAGGAGGAAACAUACACAGAAGGACUUAAGGAUCACAUAGGUUCAUAAAGACCAUGCAGCUGACAUCUUGAAAUCACAAGAACAGAGGUGGCAUUGGCCUUUAUAGGUCUGAAGUUUCUGAGAGGCUCUGCAAUUCAAUGUUGCUAGUGAAUACUGCUUUCCCACUGAGACACAGUCUAGCUACGUACACUGCCAUGAACACCUAGCCACCCUGUUUCUGCCUCCAAAGUUCUAGGAUACCAUGUCUGUCUUAGUGAAUAUUUGCUAAAAUUUGGGGCAAUAAGCUGAGGUUUGGGGUUCGAUAGUUGCCCUUAAGACUCAGAAGUUACAUACUUUCUGGGGUCUAUGGGUUCAUUUGUGAGAGACUUGGACUCAAACCUGGGCAUAUUCAGUCCAGAUUCGCCUCAGAUUUGCCAUAUCAUGUGGCUCGAAAGUAGUUAGAAGAAGAUACCAUUUGUUUUAAAAUGACCUCAUUGAUGGUUCAGAAAAUGCUGCUGUGCUCUGCCUCUGCAGCUUGCACAGCUCAGUGCUCAGAGCAGCCGUGAACACUUGUUAUUUAGAGACUACAGCUGUGUAACACAUUACUCCAAAGUUUAGGCACAUAAAACACGUGCAUUUCAGUUGACUCUUCCUUUACCUCAACGGGUUAUAUCUGGAUAGAUGCACCACAAAUUGAAAAUAUCGUAAGCUCAAGAUGCACUUAGCACGUGUAAUCUACCAAUACCCUGGCUCAGCAGCUAUGCCUUUUCAGGUUCCUGUUUAUUGCUCAAGAAUUGGAUGGGAGUGAACGCUAUCUAGCAUCAUGAGAAAGGACCGCGUGAAACACACACUGUUAGCCUGACAAGUAAAAAGUCCCAAAAGUUAGGCUUGUUUCCACUCGUUGUUUCAAUGAAUGUGUUUUUCAUUGAAAGUUGAGACAUCACAUAAAGAGACAGAGUCAGAGGCCAUCUGUUGCCCAGAGACUCACAGUCUGCUCAGAUGGGUCCUCUGGGUUAGUAUAAUAGAAGGCCCUUUCUUUCUUUUUUUUUUUCCUUUUUAAAGGUUUGUCUAUUUUAUUUAUAGGAGCACGCUGUAACUCUUCAGACAUAGCAGAAGAGGGCAUUGGAUGUUAUUAUAGAUGGUUUUGAGUCACCAUGUGGAACCUCAGGCCCUCUGGAAGAAGAGUGAGUGCUCUUAACUGCUGAGCCAUCUCAACUCCCCUAGAAGACCCUUUCAAAGCCUUACAUGCUGCCUGUUUGCUCACAACAACCUGAGGCACCUUUAUGUGACCAUCUCAAUGCUGCACUCAAGAUGAUGGCAGCUUUCCCUUGGAGUGUUCUGAGGGACAGCAUAAGCAUGAGAAACACAAAACACUGAGCUACAGAAUCCACUCACUGUUGAUGUGCUCUGUGUUAGAGAAGGCAUUAAGCCCAGCCUGUGCAGAAGACCAGGGGAGCAUGGUGGAAACAGACACUAAAACUGUAGAAAGUGACCAAAACCACAUGUUCAGAGGUAUCCACCAACAAGUUGGCAACUGGGGCUGCAAUAGCAUGUUCUUGGCCUGUGGGAAAUAAGUGAGUAUCAGAGGCAGGUAGAUUAGCACACUUACUUAGUGUGAAUGUUCUUGUGUGUGCUGGCACAUUUAUGAGUGUGUCUGUACUUACAUGUGUACAUAUGUGUGGCAGCCAGAGAACAAUGGCUUUAUCUCCCCGCCCCCUCAAAGGCGUCUCCCUCUGGCCUGGAAGUCUUUCAGUUGUCUAGACUGACUGGUCAGUGACUCCCAGGGAUCCUCUCCCUGUGCUAGGAUCACAAAUGUGGACCACCCAGCUCACUGUUACUUGGAUUCUGGAUAUUGGCCUCAGGUCCUGGUGCUUGCCUGGUAUCUUACUGAAAUCUCUGUUGCUGUGAUAAAAACACCACGACCAAAACACCUUAUAAAGGAGAGCAUUUAAUUGGACUUAUGGUUUCAGAGGGUUAGAGUCCAUGAUGGCAGAUCAAAGGCAAGAGAGCAAAAACUCUUGAGAACUCAUAUCUUGAUCCACAAGCCAGAGGCAAAGAGACACUGGGAAUGGUGUGAGCUUCUGAAACCUCAAAGCCUACCCUAGUGACGUGCCUCUUUCAAUAAAGACAUAACUCUUAAUUCUUUGCAAAUAGUUCCACCCAGUUGAGACUAAGUAUUUACAUAUAUGUGCCUCUAGGGGCCCUUGUCAUUCAAACCAGAACAGCAAGUUAAAGAGGAAAGGCUUAUUUUGGCUUAUAGCUCCAAAAAGGCGACAUUAUGAUGGGGGAGACAUGGUGGCAGUGGCAUGAGGCUGGCAUGGCAGUCAGUCAUGCAGAUGAGAUCAGCAAGCAGAGAAAGGACACAGGAAGUGAGUCAGGUAAUAAAACCUCAAACCCUGCCUCCAGUGAUAGACUUCCCCCAGCAAGCCUCCAUCUCCUAAAGGUUCCAUAAGUCCCCAAACAGUAUCACGGUGACCAAGUGUUCAAACACAAGAGCCUAUGGGGACAGGAUUUCAUAUUCAAACCAUGACACAAGGCAAUCACUUUACUGCCUGAGCUGUCUCCCCAGCUCUCCAUUUAUAUCUGGACAGUAUCAUGAGCAUAAUAAUACAAGUAAGAAUUCUAAUGGAGUCCAGAGAAGGACUCAACUCCACUGGUAAAGAGUGGAGGAAGAUCCAGGGAGGGCUUCUCAGAAGAGGUAAAAUACCAACUGACAUUUGGAAAAUAAAUAGCCUGUUCCCAUUAUAGACGCUGGCUCAGCUUGUGUUCCUCAGACUUUCUAGGCUCCUUUCCCUCCAGGAAAUAUCUGCGUUUCUCAACAAAAUGCCCCUGAGAAGUGGCAAAGCAAGGGUAAGUGUUCCUGACUCUGCAGCUCCUGCCCCAGCAGUGCUAAUAUUAAAAGUAAACAGGAAUAUGGGUUCAGCACAGCCCCAGUCAGCCUGCAUUCUGCUCUCACCAGAAUAGCCUUGUAAACAUCAAAUUUUGAGGAAGGGAAGGGAAUUAUGUUAAUCGUGUUCCUGAGAGCACUCAAGCAAAGGGCUGUUUAUUGAAAAUAUUGACAGGAUGGAGGAACUUGUCUGAGUGAUCACUUCUGCAGCUUUUUGGGAAUGUCACCGUGGGAACGGGGAACCUCUCCUGGCUGAUCAUGACAUGCUCGGCAGGUGGAAGGUGUGUGCAGGGAUAUGAAGGGCAGCAGUGGAACUUUCGCUAGCAGACGGGGGAAGCACCUUCAGGGGGUCCCUGUGGAUGCUGAUAUAGCUAGCAAUGUCACCCUACCCAGGGUGGUGGUGGCUAGACCUAAGCAGAAAAUGAUGGGAGCCGCUCAGAUAUUCCUCUGACUGUGGGCUUCAGGGAAAUGGAUCCUGAAGAGAACCCUUCAGCCUUAGACCUAAGUCUCCAGGAUUUCCUACCACCUACUGGCUCCUUCCAGCUUUACUGAAAGUGUUUGCAAACUUGUUCUGAGGGUCCCGAACCCUGGUGAUAAAGGCUGAACAUUAAUGGUUAUUCUUGAUUGCCAACUUGACUACAUAGGAAAUUAACUAAAUCCCAAGAGGCCAUGUACUCCUGGGAAAGGAUUUUUUCUUAAAUUACUUGAAGUGGAAACUCCCACUUUUAAUCCAGAUCUUAAUCUGGGCUAUACCUUUUGCUGGCAGCCAAUAUAAAGGACAUGGAGAAAGGAAGAUUUUGCUCUUGGCCUACUUGCCCUUGCUCUAGCUGGUAAGUCCAUUCCUUCGCUGGCAUUAUGGACUACUUUGUGAUUCCUCUAUAUACUAAAUGCCAGCUGAGGCAUCCAGCCUCCUGGGCUGAACAACUAUUGGAUUCUUGGACUUGCUUUUAGUAGACAACCAUUGUUGGACUAGCUGAAUCACAAUAUGUGAUCUACUAUAGUAAUUCCCAUUUGUGGGUGUGUGUGUGUGUGUGUGUGUGUGUGUGUGUGUGUGUGCGCGCGCGUGUGCGCGCGUGUGCACGCAGCAUUCUAUCAGUUCCAGUCCUCUAGAGAACCCUGCCUAAUAUACACUCUAACUACAUGUAUGGCGCUGGCAGUUAAUACUCGGUGGACAGUCAAGGAGAAUUUGAGGUAGGUAGUAUGUAAUCUACUGUACCUCUAAGGAGAAGGAGAGGGUCUAAGGUAAAGCUUUGCAUCUGGGCUUCCUACCUGCCAGUGGAUGUUGCUGCUAUUGGCAGUUGAGAGCACAGCCUUGGGGACAAACUAGUCUGGAUUUGAAACCUGGAUUCUGACCUGGGAGGUGUAGUCAUCAUGCUAAGACUCCUUGGAUGUGGACAGUGGAUGGGAGUGAAGGGCACAGGGUUGUGGAACUCACUGGCCUGCUGCAUGUGGAGCUCAGUGGUGAACACACUGGUUUUCAGUCUGAUGUCACUAAGUAUGUUGUUCAUGCAGCAGCUCUUUUGUGACUGGGAAAAGCUUUGAGAAAAGAUGGCUGGAGUCAAUGUGCGCAUGAAUGGAUUCCCCAGCAAGUGCAGACACUCAGAGCUGGAGAGUGGAGUGGACGGUGACACUCCUGGACAGAUGGCUUCCAAGCUGUUCUGUCUUCCUCUCUUGCUGAUUUGAGUCUGCUUGGCUGCCUUUCUCUCCAGUGCUCUAUGUUGCUGUGUGUACUGAUGGAGAGAGAUAAUCCCUGGUCCCAGAUUUUCACACCUUUUGGACUUCUACACUAGGCACAAGAUCUAAGGUAGCUCUGAGAAUCUGUGCCCCUCCUGGGUUCAGGCAUCAGAGCAGUGGACCCUAAGUUCCUGGUCUUUGAAUCUUGUAUCUCUGGACAGAUUAAAAUGGCUCACAGAAUUAGGACAUUGCAAAGGACUAUUUCCACAGCUAUUUAUAUGACCAUAGCCUUGGCUUACAUGGUACAUCCUAUCUCCACUGCAAUGAGUUCUCUCGUGUAGUAGUAUAUACGUGUAAUCCUAGAGCUGGGGAAGUGGAGACAGGAGACUCCUAUUCACUGACCAGACAGAGUAACUUUCUUGACAAGGUUGCACCCAAUGAAAGACAUUUGAGGUUCUCCCCUAACACCCCCACCACCACACACACAUCUGUACAUGUGCCUUCUCCUUGACCCUUCACACAAAUACACAUGUACAUUACUUCCCACAUGGACAUGCAUAUCGACAUACAAAGACACACAUGUACAUGUGCACCCACACAUACCUACAUGUGCAUCCAUAUAUAUAAACACACAUGUAGAUGUGCACUCAUACACAUGUGCACACACAUAUGUACAUGUGAACCCACAUACAUGCAUACACAUGUAUAUUCACACCCAUGCAAACCUACAUGUACACUCACACACUGUGCUCACACACAUGUGUGUAUCACAACAUGCACAUUUGUAUAUACAUACACAUGUACAGAUACACCUUUCACACACAAAUGCAUAUUUACUCUCUCAUACACAAGUACGUGCAUGCACACAAGUGUGCUCACCCAUUCACGCCCACAUUCAUUUAUAUGUGCACCUGCAUGUUCAUUCAUACACAUGUACAUAUGUGCUCACCCAUAUGCACACACACAUACAUGGUCACACACAUUCACGUACAAAUAGCUUCUUUGUUGUAGAAGAUCUUUUGAAACACUGUGCGUGGGAACUUUCUCAAGAGAGACAUUUGUGGGAGUUGGCUGAACAGAGCACUUAGGAUGUAUUUAUUAUUCUGUUCUAGGAAUUCAAUGUGGAAAUCUUCCAUGGGAACAAAGGCGUCUCGACUUAGCACAAAUUUGGGCAAACCUGUCCUUGGAACCCAGGCAGGAGAGGUGACACAAUGUCCCUUGAGGGCUUGAGGGUUCCUGGGCUAUGGUGAAAUCUGAUCACUGGCAGGUGUUUUCUGGAGCCUCAGGGCAGGUAGAGCCCUCUCUUGCUGGGAGCUCUCCUCCCAGUGGGGUAUCCCUGGGGAUUUCUGGGGGCAGCUCCCCUGAACUAACAGGUCCCUAAGGGAGCAAGCAUAGUUGAUAGUUGUUUCCUUACUACAAACUGCUGUGGUUCCCUUCACCUUUACAGGACACCCUUCACUUACUCCGACUAAUCCUCUAUUCUGCACCUUUGGGGCCAACCCUCCUCCAGCACCUGGAUUCUGCUGGACCUGCCAGGGAGCUGCAUUCUGGAGGCUGAGCCUGACCUAGGCCAGUCAUCUCUGUAGUCUGGGUGCUCUGCUACACAUGCUGAAGCUUAUGAACACUCAGAAGUUUGGUAGAGAGUAUAUGACAAGAGUGGAGACAAGGGCUUCUCACCUAGAUAUUAUAUACCAUGGACCGAUUUUCAGAGUUCUGUUUGUUUUGCUUUGUUUUAUUUUUUCCUAAGCUUUUCACUAUGACACAGGACUUGUAUUUUGACAUUUUUGCAGUGUGAGACUCUGUCCCUGGAGUCAUCUUUAAGCUACCGUGUCACAUAACCCCCUCUCUUCUUUUUGCAAGUGCUCUCUGGGGGAGAACUCAACCCCUCACAAAAACAGGAGUAGGCAGGUCCAUUAGGCAUCUUUGUUGAAUGUGCCCGGGUAUGCCCCACUCGCAGGGACCUCUCCUGGCCUCCCACCAGGCACCUAUGACUCUGAGGGCAGGCAGCAUGCUGUGUCCAGGUGUGGGCCAGCCUCUGUAAGCUGCAGGUUCCACUGGAACCCGAGGCUGACAAUUUUUCUUGGGCGGGUGUCUGUUGCAUGGCAGGGAGUGUUUGUCACCUUUCUAUUUGCCAUCUCAAUCUUGUCCCCACAAUAGAGCUUAUAAUUUUAUCCCCAGGGAGAUGGGAUUCAGAGUGAUUAAUAAGCUAUCAGACUUGGAGGAUAGCACAUGCUGCGACAUGCACAGAUAGAUAAUCAGCGUCUGAAGUUACAGUGCUCAGCACAUCUAGCCAACAUGGCACCACUGACUCCCAGUUCUUCACAUAGAAACCAGAGAUGUGCUAGUUAACCUUGGGUCCCUUCACCCUUGCCCCUGACCCAUCCCAUCAUCUAAACCCCUUUGCUCCAUAGCUAUUGUGAUCCAGCCACUCCCCGCACCAUGCUCUCUAUGCCUGGCCUUUAUUCAGUCGGAGCCAAGGCUGGACUGCUGCUCUCCCUAUGUUAACUUUUCUGCCUACUGCAGCACAGGUAACAUCCCAUCUCUUCUCAGCAUCAGACCCUUCCUCACUGUUGGCCUUAGGUCAGUGGGAGCUCUUUAGCACUGUAGGCCCCUUCCCAGCACGUCCAUCUAGUUGCUCCCACCUGGCCUUCAUCUCCCAAUGCUUAGACUCCUUGGUGUCCUUCAAAUGUUUGCUUUCACUUUCCCUUUCACCUCUUUCCUUUCCUAGAUUCUUUGUUGUCUGGCUGAGUCACUGUCUUCAUGUCUGAAAGUCUGAAUCACUUCCAAAGGAGAUACCCUCCCAGUACUGAUGCUUCCCAGAGAGGUGAUGGCCCCUGGAGCCAUUAUCAGCCCUAGAAGUAAUUUCCUGCCCAAAGCUGAUACCCUACUCCCCCAGAGUGAUAUCUUUCCUGGGCCUCUGAUACCCCCAGGGGUGAUGUCAUCCUACAGCCAAUGUCACCCCCUAGAGGUGAUGUCACCUCUAGAGAGGAUCCUUGCCCAAGUAGGUGAUGUCUGAGAACUUCAGUUCACAAAGAGACAGAAAUUAGAUUAGGACAUAUGAAAAUAUGUUGAUAGACUUAAAAAAAAAGAUCGAAUUUUGGCAACUUAUUGCCUUUGGUCUUAAGAUGAAUUUGUGUAUUAAUGUCACUCUCUUCUUGUUUCUUCACCUUUGCCCCAUGCCAUUUUGAUUACUUUGAGAGUUCCCAGCUGUGAAGAGAUCCAAAUGUCACCUCAGUUGUUACAGUGAGGGAGAUCUGUAUAAUUACUGCAAUACACUGUUGACCUCAAACAAGUCAGGUUCUGAGGGAAGGAGAUGAAUGCCAGGUGACACAGAAGUCCUCCCAUGGCUCAUUGGGAAAGCACCGGGAGGUUUGGAGGUUCAAAUCAGGUGAAGGUAGCUUUGGGAUUUGGAUCUGAGAUUUCUCCUGUGGGUCUGGGUUUUGCUCAUUUCCGACACGUAGGAUGAUCUCUCCUCCUCUCCAGGUCUCUCUUGUACCUACUUCCCAGAGGCAAUUACUAAUCGUCAUCCUCUCUGUCAAGUGUUGUGAUUUGGGAAAUAAAGUGUUGACUUGCCCAGCUCCCAGCUUCAGACUUCAGGCUGCCUACUCUCUUCCCCAUACAGGAGGCCGUGCCUCAGACUAUUCAGGCCAGCACUGAAGACUUAUGGGAACCUGUUAUUCAGCCUUGUGACCAAUUCUGGGGACUUAGAGAUGUACCUUAGAGAUGUUCUUGAUCCUUUCUAUGUAGUAAAACCUUCAGAGCUGGAAGGUUCUCCAGUGGAAGGGUGGCUGUUGUGAUGGUUAAUAUUAGAUGUCAAGUUGCCCAAAUCUCUUUAGGGAGAAGCCUUCAGUCACAUCUGGGUGGAAUGGUCCAGAGUAGUUUAGCCUCUAGGCAUGGCUGUGAGAGAGACUUUUGAUUAGAAUUGAUGAAGUGGAAAUACCUGGAAUGCAGGCAACACCAUUUCUUGGAUUGGGGUCUUGAACUGUGUAUAUAAGUGGAAGUGAGCAGAGUACCAGCAUUCAUCUCUUUGCUCCCUGACAUGACAUUUUUGCCUCAAGCGCCUGUUGCCAUGACUCCCCAUCAUGAUGGACUGCACCCUUGAAUGCAAGCCAAAACAAACCUCCUUAACUUACUUUCAUAAUGAUGUUCUAGCACAGACAGAGGAAAAAUAACAGUUGCCAAACAUGUACAAGGAGGACUGAGAGGCUUUGUGCGACCCAUGGCUACAACAUAGUAUACAUGUCAAAAUGGCCACCUGGUUCCAUGAGGGAACUUCAAGAAGACAUCAGAAAAGUCUCAACUUUAGGAUUUGGCUGAAAGAGAAAUAGUGAAAGGCUAUAUCUUAUUAUGUAUUGAUAAUGUUUAUGGGGACAAGCAAAUGAAUAGAAAUAGAGAAAAUCUUCUGAUAGAUAACUAAGAUGUCAGACAAAAACACAUCUCUCUCUCUCACUUCUUUCCUCCGUCUGUCUGUCUGUCUGUCUGUCUGUCUGUCUCUCUCUCUCUCUCUCUCUCUCUCUCUCCCCUUCUCUCUUUCUCUCCCCCCACAUCUCUCCCCCCACCUGUAGAGGUUGCUCUGAUCAUAAACCACAUCUUCUCUUCAUUUUUCACAGAUAUUCCACAGAUGUUUUUAUGCAUAUAUGUCUGUAUGUCUGUCUGUAUGUAUGUACACACAUUUACUUAUAGAUACAAUAGGUUUCUAUUGACAAUUCUUAUAGACAUAAAGGACUGCAUAAUAUUCCAACUCUCCCUUCCAGAUGCUGAACUGUCUGAGACAGUCCUGUGAUCAAACACCAUACUUCAAAAAAUCAGCACGUUAUUCUUUGAAGCUCAGGCUCAUGGUCUUCCAACACAAUUAAUUGGAAUAACAGCACAAAAGAUGACUAAAAGUGAAGAAAAUCCCAGUGGCAAGUGUUAAUGUGAUAAUUAAGCUCACUAAUUAGCAAUGCCUAAGGACCCGAGCUUCAGUUACUCAUUCCAAAGACUGAAAGACGGAGGGUUUGAGAGCUGCUGUUUUAUUACUCAGGUCAUGAGUGAGAGUGUGCCUGAGACACUAAGACUUGUACCUCACAGUUGGCCUUGGCUUAGCCACAACAGUGUCAACUUGACAGAAUCUGACUCACCUGGAAAGCAGGUCUUCACGAGAGACCCUCUAUGUAAGAUUGGCUCAUGUACAUGUUUAGGGAUCAUCUCCAUUGUCUUAAUUGAUGUAGAAAGACCCCACCUGAAAGUGGGGGGCAGAACACCAUUCUCCAAUUUGGGACUCUGGGCCGCAUAAGUAUAUAGAAAGCUAGCUGAGGACCAGGUAUACACACAUACAUUCCUGCUUCCUGAGUAUAGAUGCAAUCUGAGUAGGCAGCUUCCUGCUUCUGCCUUCCUACUUCAUGCCCCGCCCCUGCCUGCUGGCACCUCCUGACCCCCCCCCCCCACACCUGUUGCUGUGUCUUUCCCAAUGUAGUGGACUCUACCCACCUGGAACUCUAAGCCCAGAUCAACCCUUUCCCCUUCACGUUGUUUUUGUCAGGGUAUUUUAUCCCAGCAAGGAGAAAUAAACCAAUGGUCCCCUUAGUGGCCCUUGGCCUAUGCAGCAAUCUCUCUGAGCAAACUCAGGACUCCACGUUGGCAUACCAAGUCACCUGUGGAUAGAAAUGGAAACUGUGUCAGCUUUAGACAAGAGCCUUUCCCAUAAGGCUCCAUACGCAUAGUGAUUCUAGUGUUCCACAGCAGUGUGAAACCUGCAGUCCUCGUGCAUAAGCCCAUGGGCUGAGUGGUUCCUAUAAUAUGUACAUUCCCAGACAGAGGUCUGAUUUUGAUGAUUCUGGGUCUAUUUAGAUGAAUAAUACUGAAAACAUAAGUUGUAACCUCGAUAGAGCCCAUAUGUAAAUGCACCAAAUCCUUCCACAAUCCUCAGAGAAAAUGCAUUCAUACAUACUGACUGGCCACCUGUGGUUAUCAUUUGGUUAGUGGCAAAGUCAGUUUUCAUGACUAGGUAGUACACCUACCAUUAGAGCUCUGCAAGACUGUCUACCUUCUGAAUCUUCCCCCUCUCUUUCUGCUUCACUCUCCCCUCCUCCCAUAUCUCUGUCACAUAUACUCACCUAUAGAGGAUGCUCAGAUCAUAACCCUGUCUCUUCUUUGUUUCCCACAGAUAUUAGAAGACCUUUGUCUUCUUUGGGGCAUAAAGUAACAAGUGCAAUGACUUUGUUUCUAAUGUAUCUCCCCAUGUUCAGCAAGAGAGCAAUCAUUGUUAUUAUUAUGUACCGGACUCUAAACUGGGUAAUGUCUACUGUUAAAUAUCCAGUGUGCACUAGCCUCACGGGACUUUCCAAACCUCAGAUUUUCAAGCAGGGACCAGGAUCAGAGUGUAGGUCAUGUGACACUUUCAAAGUCACAUUCUAAGUAAGCCAUAGAAGUAGCGUUUCAGUCCCAGACAGACGCCUCUGGGUUGUGUGUUUUCCUUGACUGUCCUCUGCAGAGCGUGCCAGAGAGGAGACUGGUAGAGCUGUGCUGUGGCCAGUGAGAAUUGUUGGCAUUUUUUUUUCUGUCUAAUAACUUCACGCUUCAACCCAAUUACUUUGGCAUCAUUAGGAUUAUGACUGCUGUUUUUAUUGGUGCCAUCCAGUGCCAAUUACUUCUGUUGGUGUAAUUGUGUUACCAUUGGUACUGUUGUUCCAUCUGUGUUACCCAUGGAAGCCUUGCAGAGUGUACUGCUGCUGGGGACAGGUCGUACUUCCCUGUGGACCUCAGUAGUUGCCAUAAGAAAAAUUAUAAGGUGAUCAAAUGCCUCUGACGUUUUAGUUUUCAGAGCUUAUUUAGAAGUUGAAUUAAUGUAUGGAGCAAGUCUGAACACAUAUACACAUGUGUACACAAACACAGAGGUAUACACACAUGCACACAAUCCACGUAUAUGCACACUCAUAUAUACAUGGGCACACAUGCAUACAUGCCGUAUGCCUACACAUGAAUGUGCACACAUACACCCAUGUACAUUUACACUCACACAUGCAUAUAAGCACAUGCAUCUGGUCAUGGUGACUUUGCCAAAGUGCCAAAGAGUAGGAUGGUAACAAAAUAACUCUGAACACAAUUGCUAUUUCAAUAAGACAGGAAUAGAAUCAAUUCUGUGAAUACAUAGGUUGAACAAUGCAACAAUGUAGCUGUGCCUGUAUCCUCACUCCUGCCAAAAUGGAUGGAGCAUGGCAAGAAAAUGGCCAAAAUGCCAAUAAAGGAGAAUUAGUAUGUGACCAGAUACAAUGAGUGACCCUGUCACAGGGCACAAGCAGGAUUUCUAAGAUUGGUCACUGCAGUCAAGAGAUGUGGGUUGAGUAUCCUGACUCUAUGUAGGCAUGUACAACUGUACUGGGGUUCAUGGUUCAAUGUAUAAGUUCCUUUCACUUUGCAACAAACCCUGUAUUACUUUAUUCCACAGUUAGGGAAACUGAGGUCUAGAAAAGUAGACUGGCUUAUCACUCUUACUAUAUCCCAGAUUAAACUCUAGGUCCAUAAUUUGAGUGUAAGUGUUUGGACAACAACUUUUGUUGCUAACUUUUUAUUUGGUCAGAUUUAGUUUCUAUGAAAUGUUAUCAGUGUAGAUAAAGGUAAAUCCCAGAUGACAGGACUGUGUUCAGAAGGUGACUUGGGAAAGUGGAUUGAAUUUGGGAUGACUUUGCUGUGUACAUUGUGUAAAUACAGUACAUUGUGUAAAUACAGUAUCAUAUGAGUGUGGCUGAAUCAGGUUAUAUUCACCAGGCCAGCUGGUGCCUGCUCCUCUGGAAGUUGGACCUUCCUUGAGCAGGGUGGGUGGCUUGUUCUUGCCCAGAACCUAGGUAAUAUUCAAGUUAUGCAUCUCUUUAUAUUAUACUCACCCACUGUGAUUCUGGUUUACCCAGCAGUGUGGCUGUAGACUGGAGCCAUGUGACCUGGAAACAGAAAUUGCCUAUGAAGUUCUGGGUCAGAGCAGAACAAUUUCCAAAAAGAGAGGUGACCUGGGCCUUUCCACAGAGAAUCAGGAGGAAGCUAAGAACAUGGUGAUACAGUCUUCUAUGGGUCUUCUAAGUACAAUCUGUUCCCUUGUCCCUUGUCCCUCUGGAGGACACCCACUAGGACUACAGCCAUUGGCACUGGGGACAGCUGGAGCUGUUUCUGAGCUUUAUCGCUCUUAUGCUGUUGAGCCAAAUCUGUUCCUAGAUGUUCACACCUCCCCGUUCUCUUACUUGGCGGCAGGUAUUCACAGCUCUCCAGGCAUCCUCUCUAGAGGAGCACGGAGUGCCAGCUCUCUCCAUCAGCUCUGCGGUAAGGUGGGCCAGCAAGGAGGAGAAACAGCAGAUGUCCAAGAUAAGCAUCACAUGCCACACUCAGGUGCUAACUUCCCUGGUCUCUCACCACUGUUGCUAUGUGCUUGCUUUUCUGAGCACAAAUGCACAAGGUUUUAAAUGUCUUCAGGCACAGAACUAAUUAUCACAUCUUUUUGAGUCUUAUUCCUCAGGGACUGGAAAACUGACACACUGACAUGCACCCAUCACACUGCCUACAUUCUCCACACCAGCAAGUGUCUGCAUUAAUGGACCACUGAGUUCUCAAGGCAAGAAGACUGUAUGAAGAUGUUUCCAGUUGUGCAACGAGAUGGAAACACUGUUGCAGGAGAGCCUCCUGAUGUCCCACGAGCCUUACCUGCAUGACAGGUAUCUUUUCCACUGUCCAUGGAGGCAGUUUGGGGACCCCAGCUGGACACCAUGACCUUUUUGCUUGGGGUGCCCUUUUAUGAUCAUGUUGGAGUUCAUCUAGAAUAGUGGUUCUCAACCUGUUGGUUAUGACCCCUUUGAGGCUUGAAUGGCCCUUUCACAGGGAUUGCAUAUCAGAUAUCCUGUAUAUCAGAUAUUCAUAUUACAGUUCACAACAGUAGUGAAAUUACAUUUAUGAAAUAGCAACAAAAUAAUUUUAUGGUUGGGAGGGUCACCACAACAUGAAGGUGUGUAUUAGAGGGUUGCAGCAUUGGGAAGGUUGAGAACCUCUGAUUUUGAGUCUCUAGUGUUCAGAACUUGACUUUCUCUGCACUGAAAGGGAGGAAGGAAGCUUCAAGCAUUUACCUGUUAUUUCUCCUGGAAACAGGAGUGAGGGUAGGUUGGGGUGCAGAGAAAGGGGCUGGAAGGCUAGACGGAUGCAGCAAUGGCCAAGAAGAACAUGGUAGCCUAUCUUCAUUAUUCUUCAAACUACACACAUGCUCAUGUAGUGGUCACUGGAGUGUUAGUACCCAGGAAUCAUGGGGACAUUAAGGGGAGUACUCCAGAGAAAUAGAAAUGUGUGCUUAGACAUAUGGUUCACCCUUGGUUUGGGAUGUUCCUUGAUGGACUUUGGGUUGAGGUGAUAUGAAACUGUUCCCAUAUCAAUGCUUGGUUCUUCCUUUUCUUCUCUGCACACAACUUGAGCCGCCUGUCCCUUCUUUCACCAUCAAUGUUGUGAUGUUCCUCAACUAUAGGCUGAGGUGUUUUGAUUGGGGCAGGAAAGACUAAAUGGUCAAUAGGUCAGGUGUGUAUCACAGAUUUUCAGUUUUUUUUCUUCAGAUUUUCAGAUAUUUACAGCCUAACAAAGUUUGAUUGGGUUGAAAAGCCUCUGUAUCUGGAAAGAGAAUUUUCCUCGAAAUGUGUAUACAUGUGGGCAAGUCCAGAGUGUUCUGAACGGACAGGCAGAAGGGCCAGGACUGUGGGCCAGGUCAGGCCAUCUGCUGUGGAAUUCUCUUAUUUCAGAGACCUAUGACUUUGUUCUGGGCAGUCCUUCAAUUGUGCCAUGAUUUGCACCUUGAAUUUGUCUUGGAGUUUGCUUUGUGACAUAUGGGAAGUAGGACUCACUGCACAGUGGUCUUACAUGGCAGCCUUGGGAGUGUUGGGAUCAGGCCAUCAGGUUGAUGCCUCUUAUUGAGUACUGGUUUAUAGGAAAGGGAAAGACCACACGGUACACAUAAGCUCUCAGCAACUCGACAUCCAGUACUCAGGACUUCCUUGAGACUUCGCUUUGAAGAAGCUGUCACCCGAUAUAACCCUUGAUCUCUCACCUCCAGAACUACAAGUUCUCUUUUCUUUAUAGGGCUACCUAGUCUGUGGUAUUGUGUCACUAAGAGAAGAAAUGGACUAUCUGGAUGAGGCCAUCCACUUUGGCAAGGAUAGUCCCCUUUAUUUGCUAGUCACCUUGUCAACCUUAACUUCAUCUGCAUUAGUCACUCUUCUGGUUGCUGCACUAUCCAAGGGGAGGGGCUUAUUUUGGCUCACAUUUAGGAAAUAAGGAUUUGCUGGAAAAAGUGGGACAGUGAAUCCCCAUGACCUUUGGAGUUCUAUGACAGUGGAUGACUACAGUGUAUCACAGGAGGAACCUGUCAGCAGAGGACUACAUCAAACAUAAAUCUCAUAUUGGUUGUUGAUGAAAAUAUAGGGAUCAGAGGCUGGUGUGAAUGUGAGGCAGGGCAUUGUGUGUACCUAUACAUUAGCUAGUGGAGCCAUUCUAUCGAUAUUUGGUCAAAUAUUGUUUAGGAUAUUUCUGUGAGGCAGAUGGUUUGUGUGCUGCUGUGGGUUUUGAUUUUUUAAAUUUUGAUUUUGGUUUUGUGUAUAUGUGUAUGGUAUAUAUGCCCAUUUAUCGUGUUUGUACAUGUGCACAUGCAUGUAUGUGUGUGUGUGUGUGUGUGUGUGUGUGUGUGUGUGUGCAUGUAUGAAUGCAUGUAGAGACUACAGGCUGACCUCAGGUGUCUUCCUCCAUUAUAUCACUCAGUUGAACUCAGAGCUUACUGAUUUGGCUAGUCUCAGCUUGCUAUGGGGUUCCCUGCCUGUUCGCCAAUGACUGGAGUUCCAGGUGAACUACCUACCCCUCCUUGCAUUUACAUAGACUUUGGAACUCUGACCUUCUGGUCCUCACAUUUAUUAUGAGCAGGUGCUUUACUCCCUGGGGGAUCUCCUAGUCCUUCCUGUGGUUUGAAUGUGAAAUGUCCCCAGAUGCUCAUGUGUUUCAACAUGCUGGGGCCUGGAAAGAGCCUAAGGGAGGCUGCAGGGCUGUGUGCAACAGAGCAUUGGAGAGGGCUAAGAGGUGGUGAAGAGCAUAAGGAACAAGCCAAGAAGUUGUAGAGGUGAUGUAUGUGGGUAUUCUCCAGGCCUAGGACUGCAGUUCCCCAGAGAAACAUGUUUUCUACCAUCUCACUAUCUCCCGAGGCAGCAACCACACUUGUGUAGGAACCCUUAUCCCAAGCCUUCCCUAUGGAGAGAGGUCUGCAUUUCUUUUUCCUCAGUCGUCAGUUCCUGGAGGUUUCUGUCCUUUUCCUAUGCAUGUGGAUGGCUGGAUAUAGCAUUUUCUUCCUGGUCACUGGCUGCAUUUCCUUUCAGAACUAUCACUUGUGCAUUAACUGAAUUAGACCCUUCUUUUAGAAGAGUGGCAGUGACUUGCCAUGAUGCCAACUGGUGCUUCCUCAGGCAGGGGAAGAGGUUCCAAGGUUCUGCAUUUGAGUGGCCCUUCCAAGAACUGCAGGAGGCUUUCUGGCAAUUACAGUCCUGACCCUUUGAUUCCCUCUGAGCUUUGAGCUGUGCUAAGUCUCAAAAUGAAUUGCAGCCCACCCCUGACCAUAACUGGCCCCUCUGAGCAGGGUGGGGGGUGGUUCCUGAGAGACUGCCUAUACUCAACUUGUGCUUGUCAUUGUCAGAAUGAGAGGGAGGCUUCCUUCUUCACUUGAGCAUGGCUUAGAGUCUGAGGUCUUUCACCCAGUGGCUCUCUAGUGAGAUGCACGCUAAAUGAUGAGUUAUCUAUGAUUAAUUAUAACUAACUUGACCUCCUUCCUUCACAGACACUCAAUCUAAAUAUUUACCAAGAAUUCUGUUCUAAUGUGCAUUGUCCAAGUUAAUGGUAUUUCUUCCUUUAAGACAAAGUGAGAUGGUUUUCCUCCAAAAUUAGCUAUUCUGUGGAGUCUGAUCAGCAUGUGAUGAGGACACUUGGUCUUUGUGGAGUUUACCAGGGCCUCUGAGGAUGCUGGCCUUUUGUGUCACCCCCACCCCAGCUUGUGUGCACUGAAGCCUCUGAAAAUCCCAGGGAUGUGAAUAGAUGCUCUGGCCUCCUCUGUGCUCCCACUUGGAACAGAGCUCCCCUGUGCAGUCUGGGAAUGCAGGAGCCCUGGAACUCAGUGCUGGCAGGCUUUCCAGGACUCCUCUCUAAGACAGAGUGCAAGCCCAUUGCUGCUCUCCUGGUCCUUCUUUGCUUGGGGCACUCUAACGAGCUCAGCUGUCAAGUCAAAUCCUCCUGUGUGGAAGCAGGGCUCUGGGGUGUCAUUAUGUUUUAAGCCACGGGGAGCAACUUCUUUUCUCUGCCAGGAGUGUCCCGACACACAUUUGUAACCCUGGCUAAGAGGGGCCAUCUCCAUUGGUUUUGGGGGUGCAUAAAAAGGAUUCCUGAAGACCAGAGAAGACAGCUAUCCAUAUCUUCUUUUUUAUUCUAGUGCUGCCAUGUGCACACUGCUGUGUGGCUUUGCCAUUCUGAGUGUCCAAUACAUGAGGGAAGAUCAGGAACCAGGCAUUAAGAAAAGGCCUGUGUCCUUCAGAACACUGUUGAACUGCUUUCUGCUUAAUCCCAGGCCUGGGCUCUUCCCUCCCUGAGCACCCAAGUCUGCUCUAUAGCUGGAUAUGGAAGAGCCUCUCUAUCCUACUGACUGAUUCCUAGGGCUGGAUGGAUACUGCCUUCUAGUCCUCCAUGACCCUACUGUUAUGUGAUGCAUAUCUGUGGAGCCUGUGCUUUCUAUUUACCGUAUUUACUUAUUUAUUUUCAUGGGGACGAGUGAGCAGCUGCAUGAGCGUACAUGGACCAAGUGCAUGUGUGAUCAGAAGAGGACAUCGAAUCCUCUGGAACCAGAGUAAGAGAUUCUUGUUAGCCACCAUGUGGGUGCUGGGGAACAGGAACAACAGUAGGCACUCUUAAUGUCUGUGGGGUUUCUCUAGCCCCCAGGCUUGUUCUUUUUGUGGGUAGAUUUCCUGACACUUACCCACAGAGGUCAACAGAUUUCUGCUUUAAAGCCCAAGAAGCCACACCUUUAACAAUCAAUCCCUGGCUUUUUAAUCACUGAAAAUAUGAAAACCUCUGGCCCAACACCCUCCUACUUACUGUAUGUGAGACCACACAUGCCUUGGCUCUCCAGUACUCCCCCAACAGGGCGGUUCAUAUAGAGAACAUGACAGUAGAGCCAUAAUGUCAUGACAGCUCCACAACCAAGAGCAGUCUAGGAAAAAGCACCAGCGAUGCGGAGCAAGGGCAAAGAGGCAUGGAGACACCUGCAUUGCGCUGUGGCCUUGCAGAGUGAGCAAGGAGUGAGCUGGUAGAAGUGAGGACUAGAACCCACUUUCUUGGGGAGCAAUGACCUAUUCAGACCUCAUAACCUUAACGCCCAGUGUGAAGCAGACUGUGGAGAAGCCUCCAGAAGAUUUGACAUGCACAUGGGGCAGGAACCGUCAACACAAGCCUCUGGACAGUUGCAUGCUUCAGAUAAUAGGAAUGAGCUGCAUUAAGAAUGCCGUUAUUAGGGGUUGGGGAUUUAGCUCAGUGGUAGAGCGCUUGCCUAGGAAGCACAAGGCCCUGGGUUCGGUUCCCAGCUCCAAAAAAAAGAACCAAAAAAAAAAAAAGAAUGCCGUUAUUAGAAAUCAACAAUUUAGUUUAAUGUCACAUAUUCUGUGCAGCAUUGGUGUGUAGACCAUGGUUAUAUAGCCUACUGCCUAGACACACUAUCACACUGCACAUUGACUGCCCCAGGAGCUGCAUUUCCUCUGAACUGAAUGUCUUGCUCCUUCCCCAGCCCUCCUGCAGAAACGGUACAGUCUGUGUCUCUCUCUUUUUGCUGCUUCCACUGUGACCCUCAAGUCUGGGAUGGCUCUUUCUCAGAAUGUGGAUUGGCUCCCUGCAGAUGACUCACUGUGGCAUCCGGAACAGUGCAGGACAUCAGAAGCACUCCCCUGCAGUGGAGCUAGGGGAUGAGCAAGAGAAAGUUUGAUCCUGAGUAGCCAGGCCCAAGCCCUGAGGCCUUAGACUAGGCUUCGAGAAUGCAGGGCUAUGGUUGGAGAGGUUUGUUGGGGGGAUGGGUUCAGAGUACCAGUUCCCUGGAAGUGAGUGAGUGGGUUAGGUGGCUGCCAAGCACAUGUGUUUCUGUUUCCAAUAUCUCCUUGUGAACAAAGUCUGCCAGAUGACAGGUCUGGUUGGCUUGAAAGGCAGGACCUGGCAUGGAUUUCAGAUGAAUGCAGUCUUGUUCCUACUUUGGGGUACUUCUCUUGUGCCCUAUUUACUAAAACACAAGAAAGCCACACUUAUUCCCACUGUCCCAUGGUCUCCUGCCAUCACCACAUGGGUCAGCGAGUCCCAGAUCAGUGGCUCCAGGCUCAGUGCUUUGUGCCCACCCUAUUGGCUCUUAGUCUCUCACAGGGGAGUUAGCAGACUCGAGGGGCUUACCCACAAGGGCGGAGCUAUAACUUAGGUCUCUAGCGGUUCUGCUGCCUGAAUGCCUUUUUCAUGAGGGUAUGUGGGAGAGACUCAGACUCAAGCCUGAAGACCCCUUACGUUAGAAAGGAGUAUGUUUGCUCAAGCCCACUGUGGAAACCACAGUCAAACUUAGGAUGGAGAGGCAAGUAAGAACCCUUUUCGUUGUGGAGGGAGAAAGGCAUGGGAUGUCCUCCUCCUCCCCUCUGUAGUUCUGGUUUUGGUGGGACAUAUCAGGAACUUUAAGUGGGGUCUUGGGACACUGUCUCCGAGUGUGAAGAGAGAACUGAGACUGUAUGAGAAGUGGGUGCUUCCUUGACAACCAUGCAAGCAACAGCCACAUGCUUACAAUUUAUUCUAACCGCUUUAAAAUGAGCUCUGGCUGCCAGGUGUGGUGGUGGACCUGUGACCUUUUCCAUUUGGGACUCUGAAGCAGGUGGCAGGCUAGCCUGUGCCAUAGACUGAGACCCUUUUCGGAACAAACAAAGAAACAAACACUUUUUUUAAGUGGAAAAAAAUGUUAAAGCAAAGGAACACUGGGCUUUAGUGAGUGCUGUAGGAUAGACAAGAAAGGAAUAACUUCAGGCCCUGUUGUCUGACAUGAUCACAUUCUCCUGAGUACUUGUCUAAUAUGCAGUAGGACAGAAGGACAAGGAGUACCCUGGGACCUGCUGACUCUGUGUCUCCUGACUACAAUACAGCCAUUGCCCUUGCUUUGACUUGUGUGAGGGUGGCCAUCUUGAUGUUUGGUGAGCCCCAACCUUAGCAGUUUGGAGUCCUGUGAUAAUCAUGUGCUGGGAGGUGACUUCAAACAGUCACAUAGCCAUGCUGCCCUGGUGUUCUCAGGGGAUUUCCAUUGGUUCCCUGUGAGCACAUAGAGGACACAGCAUGAGUUCUGUUGCCACAGCCAGUGAAUGUUCCUACUGGCAGUGCUCCUGAAUGUGGCUAUCCAGGGGCCUUUCCACUACAGCUACUCAAUGGUGAACAAGAAGACAGAGCUCUCAGUAUCAUGCUCAGUGUGGCUUCUGUGGCUUGAAGUAAACAAGUAGAUGUUAGUUCACUGCUUAUUUCUGUGUCGCUCUGUGUCCUCCACUAAGCAUAGAGGAUGCCUCGAGCACCUGAACUUGGCUGUGUUCUGGGUAGCUGUGUUCUGUGUUCUGUGGCAGGGACAGAGGAGAUAGAUAGAUAGAUAGAUAAAUAGAUAGAUAGAUAGAUAGAUAGAUAGAUAGAUAGAUAGACAGACAGAGGAUGAAUGGAUAGAUAGACAGAGGAUGGAUAGAUAGAUAGAUAGAAUAGAUAGAUAGAUAGAUAGAUACAUACAUACAUACAUAGAUACAUAGAUACAUAGAUACAUAGAUACAUAGAUACAUAGAUAGAUAGAUAGAUAGAUGAGUAAAGUGCUUUCUCACCAUGGUACAGUAGAGCCUGGCAGAACUGGAGCCUCCUAAGAGAAGCAAGGGUGCUCUAGCCUUUCCUUUUCACCGUUGUGACUUUGAAGAAAUGACAGGUCUGCGUAAGGUGGUAUGGCUCCACUGUCUACAGGACAAAGCAGGUGCUCCUCCAGUCAUUGUGACUAGGACUGUACAGAACGUGGUGACUAAUGGCCAGGGGCAGUGACAAGUGUUCCCGUUAUGGUAGAGCCUGUUUACUAAAGACUUCCAUUUGCAUUGCAUUAUCGAAAUUCCUGCUCCCCCUGCACAGUUGACAAACAGCUCACAUUCUUAGAGUCAGGCCUCUUUGACAAAGCUUGCCGAUAUUUUAAAAUUCAGCCUUCUUUAAGAAGUCUUGUUAAGAGUAUUAGGGACAUGAACUUGAAGAGUACUGGGUUCCCACCCUCUGGGAAGCGGUGAGGAGCUCUUGUCCUCAGGAUGGCUUCCUGGCAAGCGUAUUUUCACACAGAGAGCACCUUGCCUGGAGCAAUUCUGAUUUAUCAGACAGUCUUGUGCUCACAGACCUCAUAGACAGAAGAACGGUGUUUUUCUUUGCUCCAUUUCCUCCAGUCGAGAGCAGAGCUCAGCCCAUUGCUGAUGCUGAUAAAUAGCCACUCACAAGCUCAAUUAGAAGUGACUGCAAGCAGAAGCCUUCAGAGAUGGAGCACAGGCUAGCGUGGAGCCUCAACCUCUGAUAGUCGGAUGCCUUGCUGGGUACCAGCACAGCCCAUGGCUUGUGCCUUUCCUGUAGGAAUCCAUGCAGGGAAUGAGCGUCCUCUCUCCUGACAGGUCUCUGCAGUUCAUGAAUCCUGGAAUGAACCUCAGGCAUCUCUUUCUGGGCUUCCAAUUGCCCCUCGUGCACACACAGGGCUUCUACCGGAAGGGCGUGAUUACUAUUGGAUUCUUGAUUUGAAUUUCCCCUCUGCAGUCUGCAGUAAUCCUUGCCAUCUACCCAGCAGUUACCGUGUACUAGUGUGCGCCUGACCACAGGGCUGGUAGGCAGAGGGCUUCCUUGUGCUCUAAGAAGCCUCCCAGAAGCACACGACAGGAUGAGACAGAGUCCCAUGACAGACAACCUUGAAAGAAGGUUAUGAAAAGAGCCAAAUGAAGGGUCCAAUGUGCCACACAGGUGAUUCCUGCAUGGAAAGGGAUUUAAACUUUACCAGAAUGUGAGGUUUAGGCUGAAUCUUAACACUGAGCCCAAAGCACUGUUUUCUUCAGAGAAUUCUGAUAAAAAAGAAACUUUCAGAGAACAGUGAGGAUUGGAACAGAGUGUUGGCUGGCUGAAGUUACAGAGAUAAGAAAGGGAGCAAAAGAAGGGUUAGAAAGACGCAAACACAGUGAGGCUCAGGUGACUGCAGGAGCAGGUGUGACCAAGGAGGAUUGGGUUGCAUGUUUCAAGUAUUGGGGGAAGGAAAUGCUACCACCUUCAGUCUCAGUUUUUGGAUGCAAUCUUCACGUAGGCUCUGGGUCUGGCUAGAAAUACAAGAAUAUGCUACAGUUACAUUUGCUCCAAGUGAGAGAAGAAAUGGAGGGCCAAGAGAGAAGCUCACAGUGACCUGGUUGGAUGCUGCAUGUUCUGCAGGACAGAGAGAGGUCUGGCUUAAGUAUCUGGAGGAAUGUGGCUGGUGAGAGAAGGAAGGGCCUUGUGGGUGCCAAGGCGUAGGACAGAAGGUUCCUGCCAACUGUGCUCUAGGGGAAAUGCUCCAUCUUCCUCCCACCCUGUAAGCAAACAUGCCACAGAACAAAUGCUGCCUGCCUUGGCUGGGAAGGAGCCAACACGCCUUCUGUAAAGCAGCCAUGGUCAUCAGUGCAAGGCUGGGCAGAGCCACAGUCUCCAUUGACACCAGGCCCAAGGUCAUAGUGGGGUUCUGAACGAUAGUAUUGAGAUCACCGCUACUCGUUACUGUCCCAGCGAGGGCUUUGCUAGUCUGCAUUGGUGACGACUUGAUGCCAGACCCAAAGAUGCCACCAGCAGUCAUUCUCUGAACAGAGAAGUUUGCCUCUGGAAGAGCCUAUCAGUAAGUAAUGUGAUGAGGUGAGGCUUGAUCUGGAGGUAUUUGCUGUUUAUUCCACCCAGACAGCCACAGAGCCAAGGACAUGCUUCCACUGGCAACAGAGGAGCAUGCUAUUAAACAAGACUUAACAGGGAGGCCCUGCUGAGAGAAUCAAAUUCUCUAGAACUGGGUCAAUGUCCUGAGGGCCUACUGGGUGCUGCUCAAGAGCUCCUUUCAUGCUCAAGGCACCCAGCAGAGCACUGUGCUCCCAUGCAGGGGACCCUGGUACCACUUAUGACAAAAAAAAAAAAAAUCUCCAGAGGUCUUCCAUUUCCUCAUUUAUUUUUGAUCUAAAAAAAUGAGGUGGGAAACUGGUUCAUGGUGUAGCUGGCAGAAAAUAUGUUAUCUGUCACGUUCAGAUAGGCUGCCCUCCUGUUACUUAGGUUACAAGAUUCUAUCUCCUAAAUAAGGUCAGUCCUGCAGGGGAGAUUGCAUGGGCAGUGCUGGUCUGCAGAGGGAGGCGAAGAGAAACCCCGGCACUAUCCCUGUGCAGGAGGCUGAUGAGUCACCUCGAUAGAAACACAAUUGCUCACUGGAACUCCCACAAAUGGAGUUUGGAAAACAGAUUAACUGCCUGGGUCAUUGUCUGGGGCAGAGGCAGGAGCCUGCUCAGCUGCCUCCCUGGGGCUUCCUACUCUGCUCUGCCCCCGGGGGUGAAGUUGUAUUCUAUCUUAGGGAGAGCACUCUGGUUUUGACAGCUCUGCUGUGGGUCUGAAGGCUAACGGUAAUUCCUUCCCUUCUAAUGCUGAGCCUCCUCUUUCUAAGUUCAGGGUCAGAAUAGCAGCAAUGAAGUCAGGUGGAUCUGCUUCAAGUGCGUUGUCCUUUAGGCUCUCCUGGUGCAGGAGUUAAGGGCUACCCAUGCACUCCUCUCUGGCCCAGACUAGCACACAGGCCCUGGAUUCUGUAGUCGGUGUUUAGGCAUCCAGAGACUCUCUUUGAGAUCAUCUUAGCUACAAGUUCUUACUUUUUCUCUUUGAAGCUGAGCUUCUAAGACGGAGCCAGGCAGGGCUUCACCUAGGCCUUCUUGGGAGCACGGUGCAGCCCUGUAGAUGAAUGCCAUUUUAGUGGUUCUGGUAUUUAUGCUUUUUAACUUCUUAAAAAUAGCAUGGCUUCUUUUUAAAAAAAUUUAUUUUUUUACUGAGGUGGCCUUCUCUGGAUCACCCCAUCCUUGGCUUCCUGCCACACCCAAGGCCCACACCUCUUUUCACUACGCAAAGGUCAGCAUGAGUUUGUUUGGGCAUUGUCUGUGCUGUAGUCUCUUGGCUGGCUGUGUUGUUCUGCCUACAGGGUUAUCUCGAGACUCUGAGAGCAGGUCUAACCAAAGAGGAUUCCACAGAACACUAGGCCAGCCUCAUGACUCAAACCUCAGAUCUGCCACCAACCAAGUCCUGACUCUGUGUGGGCUACCUAAUUUAGUUUAGGAUUCCUCCUCUGUUACAAAGGAGCCCACAAUUCCUACCUGCUGUGUUGUCAUGGAAACUUCUCUCCUUAUUGCCUGUCAGUCACAGAGCAGGGGAGCAGGAGUCCUUCACUAGCCUUGUCUCCUCUUACUCCCAUGACCGGACUGAGAAACACCCAGAGACACCACAACUUCUGUGAUCAUGGAAGAGAAGGAUGGAGCCUACCAUCUCUGCCAUUCACACCCACCACCAAGACCCUUCAGUGACAUCCUGCCUCAGAAGGGGCUUUCAGGUUUUUCAUCUGGCUCUGAAAUAGAACUGGGGUGCACAACGAGGAAGAACAUGGCUGGUUAUAGUUCCUGGGCAUUCAGAGACAGAGGCUUUGUCAAGAAGGAAGAAGUGUCUCCUUAAUAUUGUAGCAAGGCUUUACAGACUACAAAUAAUUAUGGCAAUAUAAAUAGCCAACACAAAGUGGGUACUUACAAUACACUGGACUAGAUGCUUUACUAAGUGCUGUGGAUGCAGUUUUUAAUUCAGUCUUUGGGCAUCUUUCCUCUUCUUUUCAUAGACUAGAAAUCCGAAGAUUAAAGGAGCCCGGUGGCUUGUAUGAUAUCAUAUACAAAAUGUCUGCAAUUGAACUAAACCCAGAACCUUACUUUCUAUGUUGGGGUGUCUCGUAAAUGUAUAGAAAUGGUCUAUAUUUCAUAGUGUUUUUUCUAUUUCAUUUUAUUAAAUUGUAAUCUUUUAAUAUGAAACUAGAUUGCAUUUUGAGUUUGUUCUCCCCUCAUAGACGAUCCUUCCGGUGCCAUCAUUGUAAUGAGUUGUUCCAGGGUACAUUUUUUAACAUAUUGAGUUCCUAGUUUUGUUAAUAUUCAUUUCAUUUCUUUCUUUCUCUGCACCGCUAUUUCUCACACACUUCUUCUGUUGCAUCAGGUCCACAUGGAGGCCACUGUGGUCACGUGCAUUGGUUGAUUGUGCUUGCCUUUCUCCCUGAAGCCCAUCUUUCCCAGGAGCUGCAAACAGGAUAGGGCCUGGCUGGAAAUUAAGCAGAUUCCAUGAGCAACCAAAUCUAAUGAGUCCUACAGAUUGAGGCAUUAGCGGCCACGUCUUGGAUUGUAGCGCAUGGCUCAUUGCGGACUGUCAUUUGGGCACAUCAUCCCACAGUGGCCCUGUGUGGACGGUAUGGAGGAAGACUGAGAUCCAGAGGCUGAGUAGCUCCCUCGAGGCUACCUAUAAGCAGACGCCCACCUGAAACUUGAACUCAGACCUCUGGAUUGAGUCUGGCACUUUACCCGACUCAUCAGUCCUUUCCUGAUGCUUUUUCUUCCAGCCAAGAGUAAAGAUGGAGCUAAGACAAUUAGAAGGCCCAGAUGCUGCAGCGGCAAAUUUCUUCUGGAAACUACAGAAUCCUGCCUGAAUUCAAAUCCCGUGAUCUCUCUUUCUCUUCCACAUGCCACCAGGAGAUGUCCCUAAGCAAGACAUCUACAUUCGCACAGACCUUAGGGACUGGACCUUCAUUAGUCACCACCUAAAACGCACUCGUGAAUCUGCCACUAGUCCAUUUGAGAAUAUGAUGAAUGGCAUUGUUUUAGUGAAAUAGCCACCAGAUAUGAGUGGUCCCUCUUCUCAGGCUUAGUCCUGAUGAUGGAGUGCUAAUGUCAUCAGUGCUUUGGUCAUAACUGCUUCAGUGGUCUCCAGUGCCAAAGAUGGGAGCUUCACUUGCCUCUGCCCUGGGUCAGGGUUCUGCCUGGGUUCAAAGUCUGGAUUAGUGAUUUCCUGGUGUCUGUCUCUCUCUCUCUCUCUCUCUCUCUCUCUCUCUCUCUCUCUCUCUCUCACACACACACACACACACACACACACUCCCUCCAUUCCCCUCCCCCCUCUCUGGUGCUCACUGUCUUGCUCUCUUGCUCUCUCGUUCUCUCCCUCUCUCCCUGUUUCUACCCCUUCCCCUCUGUCUCCUGCCUUCCCUCCCUCUACUUCUUUCUCCCCCCUCCUCUCUGUCUCUCAAUUUUAUUUCCUUCCCUCUCUCUCUCUCUUCCUAUUUUCCAUCUUAUCCUUCCCCCUUCCUUCCUCCUCUCCCCCUCCCCUCUUCCUCUUUUCCUCCCUCCCUUCUUUCCUUCCCCACCUCGUUCAUCUGUAGAACGAGGACAGCGGUAAGGUUUCAGGAAGGACACAAACAUAUGUGGUUUCUGCCCUCAGGAAGAUACAGUCAGGAGGGAAAACCUGAGGUUCAAGUGUGAUGAAUGUCCUUCCUUGUCCCACCAGGAGGAGCAUGGGUAAAGAAAGCUGGGUGAGUUCUACCCAAAUGGGCAGGGAAGCAAUCCUAUGUGACUCCCCAACCAGGUCAACAAGGAGAUUUAAGGGGCAGGACCAAGGUAUUGGAUAACCUGGUUGUUAAUCUCAUCAACUUGACUAUAUUUAAAAAUCACCAUGGAAACAUACCCCUGGGGAUGUCUGAGGGAGUUCUAUGACUAGAUUAACGGAAAUUGGAAUAUCUACUUUAAAUGUGACCAGCUCCCAGACCAAAUUAAAAGGAGGAAAGAAGUGAAAUGCAAGUGUCCCUCCACCAUCCUUAUUUCCUGUCCACAGACAUGACUCUGUUCCCUCACUAAACAUUCCUUACACGAUGGGCUGUACCCUUAAACCCUUCUCUCCCUGAGUUGCCUUUGUCACAUAUUUUGUCAUAGCAAUAAGAAAAGAAUGAAUACAGGUAGAACCAGUUGCCAACAUCCAUCCAUCUUCUCCAUUUCAUCCAAUUCCAUUUUCCCUAACCUGUCUGCCUCUACUUCCCCAGCCCAUCCGGAGCCUGGGCCAAGCCACUGGGGGAAGAGCACAGCCUAGCAUCCUUUCCAUUCAUUUUCCCAAUCAUGCAGAUUCUGUUUAUGUGGUUUGAACUUCAUCAUGGGAAAUCAGUUUGCAUGUGGUGACUUUGGCUUUGGGGAAAGAUUUUCUGUGGUGUGGCCAUGUGUCUGGGAAUAGAAGAGGCUUCUUAUUGCCCUGGGUACUAUGUAGCCAUCUGGAACCAUUCAGCAUAGCUAAUGAAGGGUUCCACUUAUGGCCCACUAGCAGGAGAGUUCUAAGAUACACCUUGUGACCAAAGACAAGAAAUCUCCUGUGGGGACAGAGGUUUGUUAUUAAUCUAAGGAUUCUGAGUUAGCCACCGAGCCAUUGUGAGUUGAGGAAGGUGGGCUGAGUCCAACAGGAUAGUGUGUCUUGUGAGCCUCUACUACAGACUGCUGGGUACAGCAGAUGAAGGCUGUCAUGGAUGAGGCAGGAAAUCUAGGGUUCUUGAGGCUGGAUAGCUAGGGCUUGGAACUGAGCCCCAUACAUGUGGAAGUGCAAUUCUCAGCAGACCCUAUAGGAUGUUAGCUGAGUGUCCAGAAAUUUGCUGGAUUGGGAUAAUCUUGGAGUUUGUGUGAUUCAUAAGACCUAGACCCUCAAUACUGUCCUUGUUUUAGACAUUGGUCGUAAAGUCAACUGGCUCAGGGUAUGUGGUUUGCCACAGAUGCCUUUGGGUCUGAUAAUCUGCUCGAACAACUUAAAAACAUAUAUAGAAAUGUUGUGCUUCUGAUUUACUGUACUGUGAAGAAUAUAUAAAUAAAUAGCUGAGUAGAGAGAUACGUGGAACAAGGUCUAAGCAGGAGACAGAGCUCCCACUGUUUGUGGUCACAUCUCUCUCCGGGUCCUUGGAUAUAUUCUCCACCUAGAAGCUUUCCAGAUGUCAUUGUUGCAGGCUGUUCAUAGGAGGUUGCAUUUCUUAGGCAUGGUUGGUUAAUCCUUGGCUUUGCAUCUUGCAGCAGGUACAGAAAAUGUCACUGGUCAUUACAGUGGAUUCUGUUCUUCAUUUCUCCAAGGAGGGUGAAAGAAGGAAGUUGAAGGUCCAAACCUCUGAUCAUAGACUAGCCUUUUCCAUCUGCAGGUCCUUGAAACUUCUCCCCAGUCUUUCCUCACUCUGUCAUGUCAUUAGCAUAAACACGUGUAGAGAGGGGCAAACAAUGAGUAAUGGAGGGUACUCCCAUUACCCUGACAUUCCAAGAGCAUAGGAGGUGUGUGUGUGUGUGUGUGUGUGUGUGUGUGUGUGUGUGUGUGAGAGAGAGAGAGAGAGAGAGAGAGAGAGAGAGAGAGAGAGAGAGAGAGCGCAAUCCUGCAUUUACUACAAUGGGAUGGCAAGGUUAAAAGAGACAGAGACUGCUGACCCAAUUUCUGACGCAGAACCCUGGCCAAAUUAUGUGUUUGGCUGGAGGCAGAAAAUAAAGUUCAGAAAAUACCUGAGCCAACUGAUGGGGGAUUAAAAGCACCACCACGGAUAAAAAAGCUCGAUGUCUAUUUUGCACAAUCAAGAAAUGGUCAUCUCAAAGCUUAGCCCUCACCACAGGAGGAUCAACGGCUUAUGAUUCUUUUUCAUUUUGAUGCGAGGAUAGCCAUGAGCCAAUUUUCCUGGAUUAGAAUGAAGAUGGGCAUCAAGGAGAAGCUGCUUGAACACCUCCCGGGAGAUUGGAGGAGGAUGGCAGAUGCAGGCCCAGGCAGUUGCAACUUCCCACUGCAGCAGGCUUUCCCAGAACUUGAGGAGCAGGGCCUGGCAAAGCGAUGCAGCUGGGCUUCAGUAUCCAGAAGUGUUGACUCGGUCUCACUAGGCCUGCAUUUCUUUGGUUCUCAGCUGAUUCUCGUGCCUAAAGUAGUUGCUGAGGUUUGGCAGGCAACCAAAUGGGGGCAGCUAUUAGGGAAACCAGAGAGAGCUCUUGGUGAAGUGCUUGCCCUGAAAGCACAAGAGCCCCUUGAUUCCUAGAGUCAUCUAAGAAUAAAACAAAGACAAAAACGCAUGCAGCUGACUUCUGACUUCUACAUCAUAGGCACUUGUGUGCACACAUAUGUGCUCAUACAUGGGCACCAACACACAAACAAACACAUACAUGUGCAUAUACACAUAAGUACCUCCCUCAAGAAUGGUUCUCCUCCAAGUGCUCUGGGUUCCAUUUUUCCUGGAACUCUGCUUGAUUGAAAGAUGUGAGGCUCCAGAGUUCACCUUGUCACUUGCAGCUGACUCAAGAAGGUUUCCACAGGCAAGGAGCAGAAGAGAAGAGACCCUCUGUGUUUUGGGUGGCAUUUGGUGAGACUUGUUUUGUUUAUUGCAGAGGGAACCUCUCUUAUGCUGUCCCAGGAUUUGUGGAAUGAGGAGAUGGCUACCUCUAAGCAGCUCUCAGAUAGGGAAGGUGAAAGACCCGCCUCUUCUAGAGUCUAGUGAAUGGAGUGUCAUGGUACUGGUUAGGCAAGGGUUUACAUAUGAGGAAGCUGAGGAUCACCAUGUCUACAUCCUGGUAGCCAUGUCUCCUGAUGGUCUUCCCCUUUGUGGUUAAACAUCCUUGAGGUUGCUACUUGGCAGUUCCACUCUAUCAGAAGCCAAGGUCACCAGGGCACUUUCCCACAUGUGUGCCAACAAAGGGUCUGACUCCUCAGAGGUCUGAUGUCAUUAUGAUACCUCAUGCUUUGUGGUUUUGAUACCCCAUCUUUUGUGGGGAUCAAUGUAAAGAAAUAUUUUAAAAAGGAGAUCUAGUCUACCAUGAUUUGGGAGCAAAAAAGGUUACCUUACAACAUGAACACACUGCCCAUCUCUGAGAUAUUUAUAAAACCUUUAGAAUCCACAAUUCAAAACCAACCUCACUGCUUCCUGCUUUAGGCAGCCCACCUAAUCUCUCUUUGGAGUGUUUUCUUUGUUAAAUAGAUUUCUGUUUAAACUGCAUAAGCCACUUCACUAAAUAUUUUCUUUCAAAAAGACAAGGAUUGAGAGAUCCUCAUAACAGGGAAGGUCUCCAGAUGACGGUUGGGAUCACAGGGUGUCCUGCGUGACUCCACAGCGAAAGCGAUUCUCAGAGGAGCCAAGGGACUUGCUUUCUAGGACUCCAUCCAAUCCAGCUGAUCUAUGUAUAUAAACACUGAGCAGAAGAUAGAGAUGGGAAGCUCCCAUUGUUCAGAAGCAAGAGGAUAUUUCAGACAGUCUGUAUUUUAAGCUGCUCUCCACUCGUGAGAGACGGAAGUAUAUUAUGUGUGCAUGAAGUUAUAUUGAUUCCCUAGUAAUUUUCUAGUGUUAGAUAAACCCCACUGUGCACAUCACAGGAAACAGUGACUGGAACAGGGGUAGGGGGUCCAAAUCCACUCUGGUCAAGCUUCUAACAGACACAUAGUUGCACUAGCUCAGACCAAUUAUAGGCUUUUGCAAGACAGAUUUUCUCCCUAAUAAAGCCAAAAUGCUAAUUUGGUCUCACCUGUAGUUACCUAUAAAAUCCCCCUAUUCUGAACUUACUUAAAGUUAUCAUCAGAUUUAAGAUAAGCAAAUGUUACCUUCUCUCUAUAAAAAUAAGACCAAGUAUUCACAGGGCAAUUUGGUUAAAAUGGCAAUUCCUUUCUGGAUAGAACUUGUG
Non-coding RNA from Rattus norvegicus (Norway rat), 30719 nucleotides. The record is from RefSeq and is a predicted model, not a curated record. NCBI's taxonomy places the organism in Eukaryota, Metazoa, Chordata, Mammalia, Rodentia, Muridae.